AUACGAGGGGUGCAAGCGUUGUUCGGAAUUACUGGGCGUAAAGGGAGCGUAGGCGGAGAUUCAAGCGGAUUGUACAAUCCCGGGGCCCAACCCCGGCUCUGCAGUCCGAACUGGAUCUCUUGGAUAGUUCAGGGGCAGGCGGAAUUCCUGGUGUAGCGGUGGAAUGCGUAGAGAUCAGGAAGAACACCGAUGGCGAAGGCAGCCUGCUGGGGACUUAUCGACGCUGAGGCUCGAAAGUGCGGGUAGCAGACAGGAUUAGAUACCCUGGUAGUCCGCACCGUAAACGAUGCAUACUGGGUGUCCGGGGGUUCCCCCGGGUACCGUAGCCAACGCGUUAAGUAUGCCGCCUGGGGAGUACGUACGCAAGUAUGAAACUCAAAUGAAUUGACGGGG
RNAcentral lists this ribosomal RNA (393 nucleotides) under uncultured bacterium. Its description in RNAcentral is "partial 16S ribosomal RNA". It matches the Rfam family "Bacterial small subunit ribosomal RNA", at positions 523 to 918 of the family's 1533-position model. The record is from RNAcentral.